GGGUGAGUAACACGUGGAUAACCUACCUAUAAGACUGGGAUAACUUCGGGAAACCGGAGCUAAUACCGGAUAACAUGUUGAACCGCAUGGCUCAACAGUGAAAGACGGUCUUGCUGUCACUUAUAGAUGGAUCCGCGCCGCAUUAGCUAGUUGGUAAGGUAACGGCUUACCAAGGCAACGAUGCGUAGCCGACCUGAGAGGGUGAUCGGCCACACUGGAACUGAGACACGGUCCAG
This 236-nucleotide ribosomal RNA is filed under the name uncultured Staphylococcus sp. RNAcentral's name for it is "partial 16S ribosomal RNA". It matches the Rfam family "Bacterial small subunit ribosomal RNA", at positions 104 to 334 of the family's 1533-position model. Lineage: Bacteria; Bacillati; Bacillota; Bacilli; Caryophanales; Staphylococcaceae. The record is from RNAcentral.